AACGGUCUAUACCUGCGGUACCUGCGGAGGGAUCAUUACUGAGUUAGGGUCUCGAUGGCCCGACCUCCAACCCUUUGUUUACUAUACCAUGUUGCUUUGGCAGGCCUGCCUUUCGGGGCUGCCGGGGGCAUUCCUGCCCCUGGCCUGUGCCUGUCAGGAGCCCUCUUCAAAUUCUGUGUUAAAACUGUGCUGUCUGAGUCCCAAUAUCAAAUUAUACAAAACUUUUAACAACGGAUCUCU
RNAcentral lists this unclassified non-coding RNA (240 nucleotides) under soil metagenome. RNAcentral describes it as "partial contains 5.8S ribosomal RNA, internal transcribed spacer 2, and large subunit ribosomal RNA". The record is from RNAcentral.